Long non-coding RNA from Thunnus maccoyii (southern bluefin tuna), 419 nucleotides. RefSeq lists it as uncharacterized. The record is from RefSeq and is a predicted model, not a curated record. Lineage: Eukaryota; Metazoa; Chordata; Actinopteri; Scombriformes; Scombridae. The transcript is spliced from 3 exons.
UCCGCCAUGUUGGACUGAAGGCGAGUAACCUGCUAUCAAAACCCUGAUGACACCGUAAAACGUCCCGCCUACAAAGUGCCGUACAAAAAUGUGUCGGGUGAUGGCUGCAGUUUCUUAGAAAGUCUUCAUCUUCCUCCACCUCCUCCUCACAUCCACAGCCCCCAGCUGUGCACAAGAUGGAGGAGACCUUGAGAUAAUCCUGCCCUGCAUCUGAUUACAAAUGUGAGGAUGCAAUCUUCAAAUCCCUGCUCUGUAACGUAGAGAGGAGCUGGUUAGUGGUUGGCUUAUCCAGCUGUAGUGGAAGACGGAUAAAGGGGGAGGGGGAAUGAUAAUGAGAGGAGAUAGUCAGGCAGCAAGCGUCAUUGUCCCUCCACCUGGGAAGAAGGGAGCAGGGGGUGAUGCAUGAAUGAAUGUGUGCA